GCAGAUAAUGCGGAGGAAGGUGGGGAUGACGUCAAAUCAUCAUGCCCCUUACGUCCCGGGCUACACACGUGCUACAAUGGUCUGUACAGAGGGUAGCGAAAGAGCGAUCUUAAGCCAAUCCCAAAAAGCAGGCCCCAGUUCGGAUUGGAGGCUGCAACUCGCCUCCAUGAAGUAGGAAUCGCUAGUAAUCGCGGAUCAGCAUGCCGCGGUGAAUACGUUCCCGGGCCUUGUACACACCGCCCGUCACACCACGAAAGUUGGCGAUACCUGAAGUUACUAGGCUAACCCCGUAAGGGGAGGCAGGUACCGAAGGUAUGGCUGGCGAUUGGGGUGAAGUCGUAACAAGGUAGCCG
Molecule: ribosomal RNA, 353 nt
Filed under: marine sediment metagenome
Description: SSU rRNA
Rfam family: Bacterial small subunit ribosomal RNA
Source: RNAcentral